UGGGGAAUAUUGGACAAUGGGCGAAAGCCUGAUCCAGCAAUGCCGCGUGAGUGAUGAAGGCCCUAGGGUUGUAAAGCUCUUUUACCCGGGAAGAUAAUGACUGUACCGGGAGAAUAAGCCCCGGCUAACUCCGUGCCAGCAGCCGCGGUAAUACGGAGGGGGCUAGCGUUGUUCGGAAUUACUGGGCGUAAAGCGUACGUAGGCGGCUUGGCAAGUUAGAGGUGAAAGCCCGGAGCUCAACUCCGGAAUAGCCUUUGAGACUGCCUCGCUUGAACGUCGGAGAGGUGAGUGGAAUUCCGAGUGUAGAGGUGAAAUUCGUAGAUAUUCGGAAGAACACCAGUGGCGAAGGCGGCUCACUGGACGACUGUUGACGCUGAGGUACGAAAGCGUGGGGAGCAAACA
RNAcentral lists this ribosomal RNA (402 nucleotides) under uncultured Sphingomonas sp. RNAcentral's name for it is "bacterial SSU rRNA". It matches the Rfam family "Bacterial small subunit ribosomal RNA", at positions 355 to 774 of the family's 1533-position model. Lineage: Bacteria; Pseudomonadati; Pseudomonadota; Alphaproteobacteria; Sphingomonadales; Sphingomonadaceae. The record is from RNAcentral. RNAcentral also lists the same sequence under 1 other name.